UCUUAUCCAUUCUGGUGUUGGAUCUCUCCUUUCUGUGCGCUGCGUGCGUCGUCAUGCUUCGUCUGUUUCGCUUUCAUCACUCCGUGUUUCUCGGUCGCUGCGGAAUCUCCAAGAAGCAAGGCUUCAGGAUGGCUGCUUCUCUCCCGGAUUCUAUGGGAAUUGAUUCAAAAAUGUGUUC
Long non-coding RNA from Neltuma alba, 178 nucleotides. RefSeq lists it as uncharacterized. NCBI's taxonomy places the organism in Eukaryota, Viridiplantae, Streptophyta, Magnoliopsida, Fabales, Fabaceae. The record is from RefSeq and is a predicted model, not a curated record. The transcript has 3 exons.